GCAUAACGCGAAGAACCUUACCUACUCUUGACAUCUACGGAAGACUGCAGAGAUGCGGUUGUGCCUUCGGGAACUGUAAGACAGGUGCUGCAUGGCUGUCGUCAGCUCGUGUUGUGAAAUGUUGGGUUAAGUCCCGCAACGAGCGCAACCCUUAUCCUUUGUUGCCAGCGGUUCGGCCGGGAACUCAAAGGAGACUGCCAGUGAUAAACUGGAGGAAGGUGGGGAUGACGUCAAGUCAUCAUGGCCCUUACGAGUAGGGCUACACACGUGCUACAAUGGCGUAUACAAAGAGAAGCGACCUCGCGAGAGCAAGCGGACCUCAUAAAGUACGUCGUAGUCCGGAUUGGAGUCUGCAA
RNAcentral lists this ribosomal RNA (356 nucleotides) under uncultured bacterium. Its description in RNAcentral is "bacterial SSU rRNA". It matches the Rfam family "Bacterial small subunit ribosomal RNA", at positions 954 to 1310 of the family's 1533-position model. The record is from RNAcentral.